UUCGUAGGCGGUGUGGCAAGUCGGGAGUGAAAUCUCUGGGCUCAACCCAGAGACUGCUUCCGAAACUGCUGUGCUUGAGUGUGAGAGAGGCUCGUGGAAUUGCAGGUGUAGCGGUGAAAUGCGUAGAUAUCUGCAGGAACACCCGUGGCGAAAGCGGCGAGCUGGAUCACUACUGAGCUGAGGAACGAAAGCGUAGGGAGCAAACA
Molecule: ribosomal RNA, 206 nt
Filed under: uncultured bacterium
Lineage: Bacteria
Description: partial 16S ribosomal RNA
Rfam family: Bacterial small subunit ribosomal RNA
Source: RNAcentral